UUUGUUGAUACAUAUAUUACAGUUAUCUCUGCUUCAAGGUUAUAAAUCUUGACCUCACUUGCAGUUGCAUGGGUCGCAGGUGCAGCUUGAUCCACAGUUGCAGCCACCGUUCUCAGCUGCAACACCCAUUUCAGCACCCUCCAAUUGGGCCUUCACAGACCCAACACCCAAAACAAGAGUCUCUGUGGUUGUCUUCUCAACAUAGCUCAAGUCAAAAGAGUACUUGUUGCAACUGAAACACAAGAAAAAUCAACAAACGUAAGGUUCGUGAAAACAUGUGGGAAAACAAAAAAGGUAUCCAAGAAAUAUAUAUAAAAAAAAACUGAAAGUAGCAAUUUUGUUUUUUGAACAAUUUUAUGAAGAACAUUCCAAAGAAAAAGUAAUCAAAAUAACAAAGAGAAUAGUUCUACCCUCUUAAUUACUGAUGUUGAAAAAAGAAUAAAGCCUCGAAUUUCAUAAAUUUCAACCAAAAUAGGCACCCACAAAGCGAAUCAAACUACGUACCCAAAAAAUAUAGGAAAAUUGUAUAUCCCUAGAAACCCAUGUAUCUAGGUAGGAAGACAAAAGCAUCUUUUUUUUUGGUCGGCGGAAAACAAAGCAUCUAAUUUCAUAAAAUAAAGGAUACUAAAAAAUCCAAUCAAAAUAGUCAUAGCAAAUCCUAUCCCUUAGAAACUUGUGCAAUAAGAAAAAUUAAUAAGAUUCACACGAAAAUCCCAUUAACAGAUUUGAAAGUCAUGUUAAAAUUAAUUUCCAAUACUAAUCAAUAGUUUUAAAGGUUAAUCAAGCAAGCAUAUUAGAAAAGAAG
RNAcentral lists this long non-coding RNA (805 nucleotides) under Glycine max (soybean). RNAcentral describes it as "long non-coding RNA (GMAX_LNC003152)". The record is from RNAcentral. Lineage: Eukaryota; Viridiplantae; Streptophyta; Magnoliopsida; Fabales; Fabaceae.